AUGUUAACAAGAAAUUUCUCUGUCAUGCCUUUUUCAGAAUCUCAACCCAAAGUAGACCACGUGGACGACAACUUUGCAACUUGCCUUCUCAAGCUCUUAGUGAUGGUUCUUAUUUUUUAUGUAUUCCGGGAGGAAUGUUUUGGAAAUAAGAAAAGAAAAGGAAAUGUCUCUAGCAUCUGCUGGCCUGCUUUCUGUCUCUGUGAAUUUACCUAUCCAGAUCAACUUAAGGAAAAUGAUCAACUUAGGAAGGAAAAUGAUCAACUUGGGGAGGAAAAUGAUCAACUUAGGAAGGAAAAUGAUCAACUUAGGAAGGAAAAUGAUCAACUUGGGGAGGAAAAUGGAAAAUUGCAAAAGGAAAUUGGUAAUGGUAUUCUAAUAGUUAAAAUAUUCUCAAGAGGAUGUCCUCCUCUGAUGAUCCCCUGCUUCCUUUCAUUCUUUCCCCUUAGCUCUUCAUUUUAGGUAUCUUUUGCAUUUCCCCGUUGCCUCUGUAUAUUGCAGCUAUCAUGUUAGGAAUAAUUUUCUGCUUACCUUGAUUAAGUCCUGAAAAUCAUGUGACUCAACUUUAUUUUAUGCAUGAAAAGCAAUUUCCAAAGGGAGCAAUGGCUUGACUAAUGAUAGUAAUGACUACGGUAAAUCCCUCAGAAGAAUGCCUGUCUUUUUUCUGCAUCGUCCUCUCAUUGAGAGUCCAUGUCUUAUGUGUGUAUCUCCUUUCAGAUGAGAGGAAAACUCAAUUUAGGAAUGGUAAGUAAUUUGGAAGUUCUUUCGUGGGAUCAGAUUCCACAAAUAAUAAGCCAUCUAGCCCUUCUCUAAACCUCCUUCCCAGAAAGAGUCAGGCAUGGUAUACCAUGGCAUGUGCUCACUGUGUAGAAGCAUAAAUGGAAGAGAAUCUGUGAAAGUGAGUUAACUCAUUUUCUUUCCUAACUUAGAAUAUCCUUUUAUUGAGACGGGGAAAAAUUUAAUUGUUUAAUGGAUAUUUCCCAAGCGCUCCUUCCUUUGUCUUCACUUCCCUAACCACCCUUUUCUUUCCCUUUUCACUCUUUGUCUCACUCUUGUCAAUUCUUUCUUCCUUCACCUCUGUUCUUUCCAAAUCCUUACCUUUCUCCUUGCUCCUUUCCUCCUUCCCCCCUCACUCCUUCCAUUUUAUCCGUUAUGCUUUCUUUCCAUCUUCAUUUCUCAAACUAUCCACUUUUAUUUCCAUCAUUUCUUUAUUUUCUUUGUUCUUAUUUUUCUUUUUAUUAUUACUUCUCUUGCUUAUAGCUUGAUUUUUCUUUUGACUUUAUACUUUUUCACAUAUAUAUACAAACCCAACAAUUUUAAAGUUAAAGGAAUGGUCACAGUAUUGUGAGGAAGGAAAGGGAUGGAGAGAGAAAUAACUGAAUACUUAGAGAAUACUGGUGAUGAGGAGAGAGGAAAAGAUACACGAAGGACCAGGAAAGGGUAAUCACAUGUUCUCAUGUUG
RNAcentral lists this long non-coding RNA (1459 nucleotides) under Sus scrofa (pig). RNAcentral describes it as "lncRNA (ENSSSCG00070002590.1)". The record is from RNAcentral. Lineage: Eukaryota; Metazoa; Chordata; Mammalia; Artiodactyla; Suidae.